RNAcentral lists this ribosomal RNA (3010 nucleotides) under Veillonella parvula. RNAcentral describes it as "partial 23S ribosomal RNA". It matches the Rfam family "Bacterial large subunit ribosomal RNA". The record is from RNAcentral. Lineage: Bacteria; Bacillati; Bacillota; Negativicutes; Veillonellales; Veillonellaceae.
UUUUUAGUUUUUGUGGGCGUUUGGUGGAUGCCUUGGUGCCUAGAGCUGAUGAAGGACGUUGUGGCCUGCGAUAUUCCCUGGGGAGUUGGCGAGCGAGCGUUGAUCCGGGGGUUUCCGAAUGGGGUAACCUGACAGGUUUUGUGGCCUGUUACCACUGCUUGAAUGUAUAGGGUGGUGGGGGGAACGUGGGGAAGUGAAACAUCUUAGUACCUGCAGGAAGAGAUAUUCUGUGAGUAGUGGCGAGCGAAAGCGGAUGAUGGCUAAACUGUGUGCGUGUCAAGGCGGCAGCUGUUGCGCAUGUGGGGUUGUUGGGGCGUGUUUUUCCAUUCUCUGCCGGGGGUGGGGGUAGUUAUAAAUGGUUGUGUGGAGCUGAACAGUUUGGGAUGGCUGACCGUAGGGCGUGAUAGUCGUGUAGGUGGUUCAUGCAACUCUGCCUGAGUGUGUUCCCAAGUAGCAGCGGGCUCGUGGAAUCUGCUGUGAAUCUGCCCAGACCACUGGGUAAGCCUGAAUACUUCUAGGUGACCGAUAGUGUAGUAGUACCGUGAGGGAAUGGUGAAAAGUACCCCGGGAGGGGAGUGAAAUAGUGCCUGAAACCAAGCGCUUUUAAGCCGUCAGAGCCGGUCGGCCUCUUUUUUGGGGUUGUGGUGAUGGCGUGCCUAUUGAAAAAUGAGCCUGCGAGUUAGUGAUGCGUGGCGAGGUUAACCCUUUGUGGGGUAGUCGUAGCGAAAGCGAGUCUUAAUUGGGCGCCCAGUCGCGUGUUCUAGACCCGAAGCGGGGUGAUCUACCCAUGGCCAGGUUGAAGCGAUUGUAAAAGGUCGUGGAGGGCCGUACCCACCUAGGUUGAAAACUGGGGGGAUGAGUUGUGGGUAGGGGUGAAAGGCUAAUCAAACUCCGUGAUAGCUGGUUCUCCCCGAAAUGCAUUUAGGUGCAGCGUUCUGCGUGUGUUGUUGUGGUGGUAGAGCUACUGGUUGGUUGAUGGGCCGUUUUGGUUACUGACGUCAGCUAAACUCCGAAUGCCAUUGAUAAUUGCAGGGCAGUGAGACUGCGGGGGAUAAGCUUCGUAGUCGAGAGGGAAACAGCCCAGAUCAUCGGUUAAGGCCCCUAAGGGUGUGCUGAGUGGGAAAGGAUGUGGAGUUGCAUAGACAACCAGGAGGUUGGCUUUUUUGUUUUUUGGGUAGGGGAGCGUCCUGACUGGGGUGAAGCAGGCCUGUGAGGGUUUGUGGACUGGUUGGGAGUGAGAAUGCAGGCAUGAGUAGCGAGUGGUGGGUGAGAAUCCCACGCGCCGAUUGACUAAGGGUUCCAGGGCAAGGUUUAUCCGCCCUGGGUUAGUCGGGUCCUAAGGCGAGGCCGACAGGCGUAGUCGAUGGAUGACCAGUUGAUAUUCUGGUACCGGUUUUUUCUUGUCCAGUGCUGACAAAGUUGUGCUAACCAACGCCGUGAUGGUGGUGAUUCCUUCGGGUUUUAUCGCCUAGUGGUCUUGGGGUCCCUUCUUGGGUAGGCAAGCGUGUUAACAGGGGUGACGCAGUAGGGUAGCUGAUGCUGGCCGGUGGUUGUGCCAGUCUAAGGUUGUGGCCCGCAUGCUAGGUAAAUCCGGUGUGCUGUCUUUGAUGAUAAGGGUGAGGGCUGAUGGGACUGCCACUUAUAGUGGUGGUUAUUGGUGUGCCUGUGCUGUCUAGAAAAGCCUCGACGUUAGAGAAAUAACCGCCCGUACCCUAAACCGACUCAGGUAGUUAGGUAGAGUAUACUAAGGCGUGCGAGUGAAUCAUGGUUAAGGAACUCGGCAAAAUGCCCCCGUAACUUCGGGAUAAGGGGGACCAGGCCCGGACAAGUACUGUUUUUCUGGUUUUUGUUUGGGUGUGGUCGCAGUGAUUUGGAAGAAGCGACUGUUUACUAAAAACAUAGGUGUGUGCGAAGCUGUAAGGCGAUGUAUACGCACUGACGCCUGCCCGGUGCUGGAAGGUUAAGCGGAAGGCUCAACCCCCUUGUGGGGUGAAGGUUUGAAGUUAAGCCCCAGUAAACGGCGGUGGUAACUAUAACCAUCCUAAGGUAGCGAAAUUCCUUGUCGGGUAAGUUCCGACCUGCACGAAUGGCGUAACGACUUCUUCGCUGUCUCGACCAUGAACUCGGUGAAAUUGCAUUACGAGUAAAGAUGCUCGUUUCGCGCAGCAGGACGGAAAGACCCCGGGACCUUUACUAUAGCUUGGUAUUGGUAGCCGGUUGUGUUUGUGUAGGAUAGGUGGGAGACUGUGAAGCCGCUACGCUAGUGGUGGUGGAGUCGUUGUUGAAAUACCACUCUGAUAUAAACGGUUAUCUAACCUUGGUCCGUGAUCCGGAUUGGGGACAGUGCCUGGUGGGUAGUUUAACUGGGGCGGUUGCCUCCUAAAUGGUAACGGAGGCGCUCAAAGGUCUUCUCAGCCUGGUUGGUAAUCAGGUGUUGAGUGUAAGUGUAGAAGAAGGCUUGACUGUGACACUGACGGGUGGAGCAGGUGCGAAAGCAGGAACUAGUGAUCCGGCCGUGGUUCGUGGAAACGCGGUCGCUCAACGGAUAAAAGGUACCCCGGGGAUAACAGGCUGAUCUUGCCCAAGAGUCCAUAUCGACGGCAUGGUUUGGCACCUCGAUGUCGGCUCGUCGCAUCCUGGGGCUGGAGUCGGUCCCAAGGGUUGGGCUGUUCGCCCAUUAAAGCGGUACGCGAGCUGGGUUUAGAACGUCGUGAGACAGUUCGGUCCCUAUCCGCUGCGCGCGUAGGAAACUUGAGAAGGCCUGUCCCUAGUACGAGAGGACCGGGACGGACAAGCCUCUGGUGUGCCAGUUGUACCGCCAGGUGCAUGGCUGGUUAGCUACGCUUGGGAAGGAUAACCGCUGAAAGCAUCUAAGCGGGAAGCCUGCUUCAAGACAAGGUUUCCAUCCCCCUCUUGGGGGGAGAGACUCCCAAUAGAUGAUUGGGUUGAUAGGCCAGGCGUGUAAGCAUGGUAACGUGUUUAGCUUACUGGUACUAAUAGUCAACAACUA